Molecule: long non-coding RNA, 1039 nt
Filed under: Salvator merianae (Argentine black and white tegu)
Lineage: Eukaryota; Metazoa; Chordata; Lepidosauria; Squamata; Teiidae
Description: lncRNA (ENSSMRG00000015605.1)
Source: RNAcentral
GUAACUUCACUUCAACUCAGACAAAGCUUUUCCCCGGCUGUGUGUCUUGAAUUGCUUCCAGCCAAUCAGGCUGCUUCCAAAUCAAAGGACAGUGAAGUCACACAAAUAGAGAGAGAAAGAGAGGAAAAAAAAUGCUGAAGGAAGGAGCGGAAAAGUCCAUCCCACCUCUUCCCGUUCACUUUCUUGUGCGCUGUAACAAAAGGAGGCGAGUUACUGAAGGACUAUUUUAAACCAACUUCUUUUUAUGAUUAUCUCGAUUGGGAAAGGCUGUUUUAUUUUGUUUGCAUUUUUAAUGAAUGCUUUCAGGAUUGCCCGAGACAGUCUUGGGCAAGAGAGAAUGCUAAAGAAGAUCUAACAAUUGUCUCUUGCUGACCAGCACCACCCCAGUAGACACAGGAUGUGUCCAUGUUUGAACUCUAGACAUGGGCUAAAACUUGCAGUUGUCCUCGCCCUAUAUUGGAAAUGUGAGACAUAACUAUAGUGUUCUCUGAAAUCCCUGGAUGGUUAAGCAAUAACCCAGGUGCCAGGUGACUACAAGAGGCAGUCACAGGAUCUGAGGGCAGCCAUGAAGAACAAUUGUGGGCUUACAUUCAUGUCUGCUAGCAGCUUUUGUCAGAAGCUCACUUGAAGCCACUGAAAGUCAGCCAAGUACCCACGCUCUCCCUUUUCUUAUUUUUAAUGUGCUAGGCUACCUUCUUGAAGCUCACUACAAAACCUGCUGGCACACACAAAGGUCAGCAUCACUGUUAUGAGAAACCCGGCAUCAUUGCCGGAUUUUCCAUAAGAGUAAUAUCACGGGUUAUGUAUUAUCCAAACUAGGAUUAUAUUGGGAAUGCCAUGAUUAUGUCUGACAUUCCCAGUGUAGUGCUGGGAUAAACUGCAGGUUUUAGCCUGCAUCUGUAAGCACCUUUGGUUUAAGAAGAGAGAGAGGAAUACUAGAAGAAAAUGGCUGGUUAAACAACUGUGGUCACCAGGAAGGUCUCUUUUCUUGAGUCAUGGACUGUGUCCCCAUGGAGGUAGGAUGCAUCCAGGAUCCAGG